This 253-nucleotide ribosomal RNA is filed under the name uncultured bacterium. Its description in RNAcentral is "partial 16S ribosomal RNA". It matches the Rfam family "Bacterial small subunit ribosomal RNA", at positions 524 to 776 of the family's 1533-position model. The record is from RNAcentral.
UACGUAGGGGGCAAGCGUUGUCCGGAAUUAUUGGGCGUAAAGAGCGCGUAGGCGGUCCGAUAAGUCGGCUGUGAAAGUCAGGGGCUCAACCCUUGAAAGCCGGCCGAUACUGUCGGACUAGAGUCCGGAAGAGGCAAGUGGAAUUCCCGGUGUAGCGGUGAAAUGCGCAGAUAUCGGGAGGAACACCAGUGGCGAAGGCGACUUCCUGGCCUGUUCUUGACGCUGAGGCGCGAAAGCUAGGGUAGCAAACGGG